Molecule: long non-coding RNA, 4894 nt
Organism: Acinonyx jubatus (cheetah)
Lineage: Eukaryota; Metazoa; Chordata; Mammalia; Carnivora; Felidae
Exons: 5
Source: RefSeq, a predicted model, not a curated record
GGGAGUCGGGCGGCGGGUCCUCGAGGACCAGUCUCCUGGUACGUGUGGGUAUCGGCGUCGAGGGGGGCCUGGGCAAUGGGCAUUUCCGGGUGCUCUGCAAUAAGGGGGGUGGGGGAGCCGGUCGUGGGCUGAGGAGAAGAAGGGGCCGGUCGCGGGCCUAGCUGAGCAGGCACUGUGCUUCUGAAGAGCAGCCACCUACUGUCAGGCCUGGAGCGACGGCGUGCUUGACGGCUAAGUGGCCCCUCGGCCUCGGAGGGUCCGAGGUUUUCCGCGCCCGCGCCUUCGCGUUCCAACUUGGAAGCCACACGGCCAGCCUUGUAAACCAGGGGGCGGGGCAGUGCCGCAGGAGGGCGGGUCCGGGGGCGGAGCGGUAGCGCUCGCGCGCGCUCUCCACCUAUCAGGAGGAUUCGGGAGGGCCUGCGGAGCGUGACGUGAUCGGCAAGGCCGAGGGGGCGACCUGCGGCCUACAGAGCCUCGGCUGCCCGCGCGGGGUUGCGCGCGCACUCCGGGCCUCGUAGCCACGUUCAACCCCGUCGUGACUUAAAAGACGUGACGCUAGUAGGUCCUUUCUCGCUCCCCCGAACCUCCCGGAGCUGGUGACAGCCAGGUGGCGUGCGCACCGAGGGAACCAGCGAGCCUCUCCAAAGUUUUCAAGUACACUCCCGGAAGCCCUCUGGCGGGGGGCAACGGGCCCACCUCACCAGUUUCUGCGCCAGGUGGAGCGCAGUGAGGGUCUCGGUGUGGGAGACGCCCCUCGACAGGGCUCUUGUGGCCAGACAGGUGGGAAGGCACUUAAGGAGAGCUGCUAUAAGAGGUACUUGGGGCCGCCUGUGGUUGUGCUGUGCCCCCAAAUCCAAGACCUCCAGUGACAUCCUGGCUCUCUGUGCGUGUGGAUGGGUCCUGUGCCGGUUGCCUUGCCUUGUGUUCCUUUGCAGUUCCCUGGAAUGGAUUGGACGGAGUGAAGCAUGCGGAAUCUGUGUUCUCUUUCCCCACAAAUGUCAGAAUUGGGUCUUCCCUUGUCCAGCUGGCUCUUGGGGAGUGGUGGCAUUUCCUGGGGUGUAGAAGAUUGCCUGAAGGAGAGCCCAAGGUGGCUGUAGGCAGGACAUGGGAUCAGAGAGGCCAAGAGGCUCGCCCAGUCACACAGCCAGAGAGGAGUCGAGAUGGCAAUGGUUUCCCUCAUGUCUGGGCUUCCUUCGGUCCAGGAAGCAGCUGCUUGAGAUUACAGGGCAAGGCAUUGCCAGAAGAGUUUGCAGACCUGGAUCCCGUGCCUAAAAUAGUAUGGCUCAGAAGGGCCUAAGAAGAGAGCUUGGGGCAUUGCUGGCACUUGGUAAAUAUUUGUUCAAUGAAUGGAUUUUUAUAGAUGGGAAACAAGAAAUGACCAAAAUGUGUUCUCUCUUCAGGAGACCGCUGAAAACCAGCACAUAUGGGUGGGCAACAACAGAUGUUGGCGAGGAUGCGGAGAAAGAGGAUGUCUUUUGCACUGCUGGUGGGAAUGCAAACUCGUGCAGACACUCUGGAAACCAGUACGGAGGUUCCUCAAAAAACUAAAAAUAGAACUACCCUAAGACCCAGCAGUUGCACUACUGGGCAUUUAUCCAAGGGAUCCAGGUGUGCUGUUUCGAAGGGACACAUGCACCCCAGUGUUUAUAGCAGCACUAUCCACAAUAGCCAAAGUGUGGAAAGAGCCCAAAUGUCCAUCGAUGGAUGAACAGAUAAAGAAGAUGUGGUAUAUAUAUAUACAAUAGAGCAUUACUCAGCGAUCAGAAUGAAAUCUUGCCAUUGCAACUAUGUGGAUGGAACUGGAGGGUAUUAUAUGCUAAGUGAAAUUAGUCAGAGGAAGACAAAUAUCAUGACUUCACUCAAAUGAGGACUUUCGGAGACAAAACAGAUGAACAUAAGGGAGGGGAAGCAAAAAUAAUAUAAAAACGGAGGGGGACAAAACCUAAGAGACUCUUAAAUACAGAGAACAAACAGAGGGUUGCUGGGGAAUUGUGGAGGGGGAGGGGCUAAAUGGGCAUUAAGGAAUCUACUCCUGAAAUCAUUGUUGCACUAUAUGCUAACUAACUUGGAUGUAAAUUAAAAAAAAUAAAAUUAAUAUGCAAAAAAAUUGCCUUUAUAAGUUUACGGUUGAAGGGUUUUUUUUUGUUCUUUUAAAAGCUGCUUGAUUUCUUUUCCCAUUAUUCCCACUAAUUGCAUAACUUAAUUUCUUUUUUCAUGUUGCCCCUCAGCAUUACUUUACUGACGUUUUAGGAAGUUAAAUGUUCUGCUACCAUAAAUACCAAAAAUAUCCGCAAGUCUCUGAAGCAGUCGUGAGAAAGGCAGUCCUGACUUGUCCUGACCAGCAGGGGGCCAGCCGGGAGCCAGAUUAUUUGAUUUUCACCCAGUUAAUUCAGACUUUUGAGGGUGAGCUGUGCCUCAAAAAAGCUUCCCUGGAAGCUUCCAAAUAGGCAGAAGCUUCCUUCCAGCCACCUGCUAGCAGUGUGCCUGCUUCCCGUGCCUCACUACAAACCUGUAUCUCUUGGCUCCUCCUGUCUGGACACUGGGCUCUGCACAGGUUCCUGAAUAAUCUAAGUUUGCACCUGCCACUGGACCUUUGCACAUGCCGUUCCCUCUGCCUGGAAUGCUUUCCCCUCCUUUUCCACCUGGUUAUUUCUCCUUCUCAAUCAUUUCUUCCUUAGGGAAGACUUCUCUGCUACCAGAACAGGAAAACCCUUUUGUUUUAUGUUAUGAGUAACACCCUUUUUUGAUAUGAUUAUCUGUAUGAUCAUCUAUAUGGUUAUUGUGAGUAACCAUAGUUAUACAGCCUUCUCGUAGUUUGCCAAGGGGUGGGGUGUUAGCCUGGGAGACCCCGAGACCUAUUUCUAUACCCAAACUCACAAGAAACUUCUAGGCUGAUACUGUAUGUUUUACAGUGGGAGCUGUGACAAUCGGUAGUUUCUUCAGCGACCAUGAAAGUGGGGAGCAGGGGUUGAGGCUGGAUGCAUCUGUUCCCCUUUUCUGUUCAACUUUCGUUUUCCCUGAAGUUAAGAAUUCUCUCUCUUUAUUUUCCCUUUUACUUAGUUUUCUCUGCACUGCUCACGAAUUCAUCCCCGAACUUUGCUCAGCCUGUUUAUAUCUCCCUUCCUGACGACCAAACACGUUAGGUGUCCUUUGCCACUGAUUUCUUGAGGAAGCCACAUCUCCAGAGCCUCCUGACUUCUUCAGUGUGGCUGGCCUCACUCUGCCGUCCACUGCUGGUGGGAAUGCGGAACGGUGCAGGCACUUGGGAAGAGUUCGGCAGUUCCCUACAAAAGUGUACACACCCUUACCAUACGAUCCUGCAAUUGCGCUCUGGGGCAUUUCCUCAAAUGAGCUGAAAACUUAAGUCCACGCAAACACCUGCACCCAGAUAUCUGAGCAACUCUAUUCAAAACGGCUACAACUUGCGAGCAACCGAGAUGUCUUUCGGUAGAUGAAUGCAUAUAUAAACUGUGCUGCAUCCAGAACAAUGAAAUAUUAUUCAGUGCUAAAAGCAAAUGAGCUACCGAGCCAUGAAAAGACGUGGAGGAAACAUCAACGCUUUUCACCAAGUGAGAGAAGCCAGCCUGAAAAGACCACAUCCUGUAUGCUUCCAGCCAUGUGACAUUCUGGAAAAGGCAAAGCUCGAAAACUUUCAGGAAAAAAAAAAAAGCAGAAGGAAAUAUCCACAACCUCAGGAGAGGUGAAGAGUCCUUAGACUAUGACACCAAAAACAUGAUCCAUAAAGGAAAUAAUAAAUGGAUAAAUUACAGACUGGGAGAAAAUAUUUCCAAACCACAUAUGUAACAAAGGACUACUAUCUAAAAUGUAUAAAGAACUGUCCAAACUCUGCAGCAACAUGUGACACAGUCCAAUUCAAAAAUGGGCAAAAGAGGGGCGCCUGGGUGGUUCAGUCGGGUGGGUGCCUGACUUCGACUCAGGUCACGAUCUCAUGGUUCAUGAGUUCGAGCCCCGCGUCGGGCUCCGUGCUGACGGCUCAGAGCCUGGAGCCCGCUUCGGAUUCUGUGACUCCCUCUCUCUCUGCCCCUCCUCUGCUCAUGCUCAUGCUCUGUCUCUCAAAAAUGAAUAAACGUUAAAAAAAAAAAAAGUUCAAACAUUUUUGUUUCUCUGAUCCUGGUCAGGUAAGUCAUCCCCAAUCGGCACAAUGUUUGCCAAAGUCAAAUUUGUCUACACAGUGUCAACAGAGUAUUUGCAAACACCAGCUAACAGACUGUUUUCCACUUCAGCCUUUGGAAACUAUUCCAGUUUUUGGAAUAUCUCAGUUUUCUCUGAGAUAUGGGUAGAGCUUGGUCCAGUAAAAUAAAUAAAUGCAUACAUACAUACAUACAUACAUACAUAAAUACAUAAAUAAAAUAAAAGCCUACUGAAACCAUAUAAUGUGUCUAUAGGCUAGUACCAGAAAACAAGUGUUACCACUGCGGAAAGUAACUACCAAAUGUGAAAUUGGGAAUCUCCCUUCUCCCACUCUCCCCACAUGGCUGAAGGUUUUCCACACAUGGACAUUUGUAUGGGAGACACAUAUGUGAAGUGAGUAUUUCUUCAGAGGAAAGAAAAAGGAACAGUUUCUGUGAAUAGAAACAAAUCUGCCUAGAAUGUACAAGUGGAAAGAAAGAAGAAGGUUAUGCACGCUAUGAUUCCAUUUAUAAAACAUCUUCUAGAAGAUGUGGAGACAGAUUAAUGGUUGUCAGGGGUAAGGGACGGCUGGGGAGGGGUAGCAUGAAGAGUCCUUUUGUGGUGAUUCAUCUUCGCAAAACAUUUUUAAUUGAGUUAAAAUUGACAUAUAACAUUGUAUCAGUUUCAGGCGUACAAAAUAAUGUGGUGAUUAAUCUUGAUUGUGGUAGUGGUUAUGUGUGUCUCUAUGGCUGAUCAAAUUGCU